ACCGCUCUAGGCCGCAGCUCGCGCUCUCGUCUGUAUUUCCGCCGGCGCGAAACGAGCGUAGCUUCCUUGUCGUGUGGCCUCAGUCCUUCGCCGUCCCUCGCCGUCCUUCGCCAUCGCACGCCACCGCACCCCAUCUCUCGAAAUCUGCAGACAUCUUGAUUUUUCCCACGCUGUCUGUCAGGUCUCCGCCGCCACUCGACGCCAGGGCGCCGGGCCUUGUGGGCUGUGCUGCACCUCGGACGGCUUCGCACCAGCCAGCGCCCUCUCUCUCCUGCAGCACUCUGAUCUGCACCCCCUGAGGGGCUUCCACUGUCCGCGGGGUGAGAAUGCCCCUGGGAGUGUCACAUGACUGCCGCCCCAUGUGUGUGAGAGGCGUCCUCUGGGAGAGCAUGGAUCCUGAGGUCCCAGGAACAUCCCGAGAGCCAAGUUCCCAGAUGCCAGCCAAGGGCCAUCUGACCUGUUUUGAAUCUCAAUUUCCUGAUACAGAAAACAAAGGAUUGUCAGCUGACCUCUGUCCUGUGUGCCCAGUGGCCCCAGGUGACGUGUCUUCAAGAAGAGGCUGAGCUGCGGUGCUUGUAAGGGUCUCAUUCUGUCACCCAGGCUGGAGUGCAGUGGUGCAAUGAUGGCUCACUGCAGCCUCGACCUGGGCUCAAGUGAUCCUCCACCUCAGCUUCCUGAGUAGCUGGGACCACAGAGUCAUGUGCUGUUCCUGGGGCUUGGAUGAUGUAGGGGAAGCAAGGUGAAAGUGGUAUCCCGUGGUUCCACGUUCUGUCCUGCUGUGGGGCUGUCCCUCACAUGCUUUCAGUGGCUGUUGCAGAGGAAGAGCCUCCGGAAAUCUGCGUCUCAGCCUUAGAUCCAAGGACAGUCCAAGGAAGUCCUAAGACCAUGGAGUUGGUGAUCUGGGAUCUGGGUUUGCUGAUAUUUCUCACCGUGAAUCUCUUGGUGGUGUUUGUGGGCACGAGAGGGGCAGAGAAUGGAGAGUGAGGCUACCACAUGAAGCGUCACCAGAGCUGCUCCCUGCUGCCUGCUCAGAGCACCCCGGAUCCACUGUUCAAUCUGCACAAGAUUCGGGGUCCAGACAUGGGAGACUUCAGCUGCCUCAGAGGACCGUGGACAGGGAAGGCCAGCCUCGCAUCCCUCUGUCCAUGCCUGGAAUGACUUUAAUAACCAAGAGUUUUAUUUUUGAAUUUGUAGCUGUCGUUCACUUUUUACCCACCCAUUCAAUAAACCUUACAGAAUU
Molecule: long non-coding RNA, 1240 nt
Organism: Homo sapiens (human)
Lineage: Eukaryota; Metazoa; Chordata; Mammalia; Primates; Hominidae
Gene: SNHG17
Product: small nucleolar RNA host gene 17
Source: Ensembl